GAUCCUGUGACCCCAAGAUCAUGCUUCCCUGAGAAAUCCGGCUGGAGUUCUCCUGCAACAGAUUGAGAAGCUACCAGAAAGGGAGAGUUUGGAGGAGACAACUGCAUCCCUUCAUUAUGCUCAGCUGCAGCUUCCUCCAGGAAAAUCCCUCUCCAUGAGCACUCCAGACAGCACCACCAUUUAUGCAGCAGUUGUCUGAUGCGGCUUCUGUCUCCCACCUAGGCGCAAAGAUCCAGCAAGCAUUUCUCAAUUCACUGAUGAAAUCUUCUGUUCCUGCUUUCAUCACACACACACACCAUGCUUCUCUAGUUGACCUGUCCCUUCAGCUUCUUCAACUGUACUAUCUACAGACAUUGUGAAAUAAUAAGUCCUCAUGUUGUCUCUGUCUGACCUUCAUCUUGCCUUCCUCGAAGGCACCCCUUAAGUCCACAUCCUGAACCACAACUAGGCCUGGGCAUGUUUUAGUAGCAUUAUCCAUAUCCAUCUCUCCUGUGGCUCUUUCUUUUAUUUCUCUCCUCCCUCCCCUUAUGCUAUAACGUGCCAUGAGUACUGAGGAAAAUGUAGACACAAUA
Molecule: long non-coding RNA, 572 nt
Organism: Heteronotia binoei (common prickly gecko)
Lineage: Eukaryota; Metazoa; Chordata; Lepidosauria; Squamata; Gekkonidae
Exons: 2
Source: RefSeq, a predicted model, not a curated record